This 638-nucleotide ribosomal RNA is filed under the name uncultured actinomycete. RNAcentral's name for it is "bacterial SSU rRNA". It matches the Rfam family "Bacterial small subunit ribosomal RNA", at positions 233 to 885 of the family's 1533-position model. Lineage: Bacteria; Bacillati; Actinomycetota; Actinomycetes; Actinomycetales. The record is from RNAcentral.
GCGGCCUAUCAGCUUGUUGGUGAGGUAACGGCUCACCAAGGCAACGACGGGUAGCUGGUCUGAGAGGACGAUCAGCCACACUGGGACUGAGACACGGCCCAGACUCCUACGGGAGGCAGCAGCAGGGAAUCUUGCGCAAUGGACGAAAGUCUGACGCAGCGAUGCCGCGUGGGGGAUGACGGCCUUCGGGUUGUAAACCCCUUUCAGGAGGGACGAAAUUGACGGUACCUCCAGAAGAAGCCCCGGCCAACUACGUGCCAGCAGCCGCGGUAAUACGUAGGGGGCGAGCGUUGUCCGGAAUUAUUGGGCGUAAAGAGCUCGUAGGCGGCUUGGUAAGUCGGCCGUGAAAACCAAAGGCUCAACCUUUGGAUGUCGGUCGAUACUGCCAUGGCUAGAGUCCGGUAGAGGAGGGUGGAAUCCCCGGUGUAGCGGUGAAAUGCGCAGAUAUCGGGAGGAACACCAGUAGCGAAGGCGGCUCUCUGGGCCGGAACUGACGCUGAGGAGCGAAAGCGUGGGUAGCAAACAGGAUUAGAUACCCUGGUAGUCCACGCCGUAAACGUUGGGUACUAGGUGUGGCGUCUUAUCAACGGAUGCCGUGCCGAAGCUAACGCAUUAAGUACCCCGCCUGGGGAGUACGG